Molecule: ribosomal RNA, 497 nt
Filed under: uncultured bacterium
Lineage: Bacteria
Description: partial 16S ribosomal RNA
Rfam family: Bacterial small subunit ribosomal RNA
Source: RNAcentral
GAUGAACGCUGGCGGCGUGCCUAAUACAUGCAAGUCGAGCGAACAGACGAGGAGCUUGCUCCUCUGACGUUAGCGGCGGACGGGUGAGUAACACGUGGAUAACCUACCUAUAAGACUGGGAUAACUUCGGGAAACCGGAGCUAAUACCGGAUAAUAUAUUGAACCGCAUGGUUCAAUAGUGAAAGACGGUUUUGCUGUCACUUAUAGCUGGAUCCGCGCCGCAUUAGCUAGUUGGUAAGGUAACGGCUUACCAAGGCAACGAUGCGUAGCCGACCUGAGAGGGUGAUCGGCCACACUGGAACUGAGACACGGUCCAGACUCCUACGGGAGGCAGCAGUAGGGAAUCGUCCGCAAUGGGCGAAAGCCUGACGGAGCAACGCCGCGUGAGUGAUGAAGGUCUUCGGAUCGUAAAACUCUGUUAUUAGGGAAGAACAAAUGUGUAAGUAACUAUGCACGUCUUGACGGUACCUAAUCAGAAAGCCACGGCUAACUACGUG